CCCCACUCCACUCUCUGUGACAGAUUUCACAUGGCCCCAUCUCUCUCUGCCAAGUCAUGACAAUGGACACCACUCCACUCUCCAUAACAAACUCCACGUGGCCCUGAACGGCCCCCUGAUGCCACUACUCUCCAUAACAAACUCUGCAUGGCCCCGAACGGCCCACUACCAGGCAGUUAGAAAUGUCGCUGUCAAUUAGUUACACUCUCUGUCUAUAAAAAGGGACCCCC
This 230-nucleotide long non-coding RNA is filed under the name Elaeis guineensis (African oil palm). Its description in RNAcentral is "long non-coding RNA (EGUI_LNC050467)". The record is from RNAcentral. Lineage: Eukaryota; Viridiplantae; Streptophyta; Magnoliopsida; Arecales; Arecaceae.